AACGAACGCUGGCGGCAUGCCUAACACAUGCAAGUCGAACGAGAUCUUCGGGUCUAGUGGCGCACGGGUGCGUAACGCGUGGGAAUCUGCCCUUUGGUUCGGAAUAACAGUUGGAAACGACUGCUAAUACCGGAUGAUGACGAAAGUCCAAAGAUUUAUCGCCAGAGGAUGAGCCCGCGUAGGAUUAGCUAGUUGGUGUGGUAAAGGCCGAACAAGGCGACGAUCCUUAGCUGGUCUGAGAGGAUGAUCAGCCACACUGGGACUGAGACACGGCCCAGACGCCUACGGGAGGCAGCAGUGGGGAAUAUUGGACAAUGGGCGAAAGCCUGAUCCAGCAAUGCCGCGUGAGUGAUGAAGGCCUUAGGGUUGUAAAGCUCUUUUACCCGGGAUGAUAAUGUCAGUACCGGGAGAAUAAGCUCCGGCUAACUCCGUGCCAGCCGCCGCAGUAA
Molecule: ribosomal RNA, 449 nt
Filed under: uncultured bacterium
Lineage: Bacteria
Description: partial 16S ribosomal RNA
Rfam family: Bacterial small subunit ribosomal RNA
Source: RNAcentral